Long non-coding RNA from Chelonia mydas (Green sea turtle), 1049 nucleotides. RefSeq lists it as uncharacterized. Lineage: Eukaryota; Metazoa; Chordata; Testudines; Cheloniidae. The transcript is spliced from 2 exons. The record is from RefSeq and is a predicted model, not a curated record.
UUCCUUCAUCUCAGCUGUGCCUCGUACAGAGUGAGUCAACACCCUUGCAGGCAAGGGGUGGAGGAUCACUUGACUCCUAUUACAAAGAAGCAGGAGACUAGUGAGGUCCUGCAAAUGAGGCCUAAAGAGGUUAUUUGUAGAAGGCCUAUGUAUUUUAUGUUUGGAUUUUGUCUUUUUCUGGAAAGAAAGGAUUCUUGCUUUUGGCAGAAAGCCAAAUCACAAAACUGACGUGUUGAAGACUAUCUCUAGAAGAAGGGACCUGAGGCACAGUGGGGGAAACUGAGACACACUGUACUGGAGAUAUCAGAGUGGCUCCUUGACCUCCACUGGGUGCUGUAUGUCCAGAACCUCUGGCCCAACAUACCUUCAUGGACCAUUUGAAAAGGAAGUGUUUCCAUAAUGAAGUUCUGGUUGAAGUUCUUGAGAGGACUGACAAACUGAUCCAGUACAGCAGCAUGGGGGUGUAAGACUGGAAUGACGGCAGGCUGAGAGGCAGAAGGAAAGGCUAAAACUCACUGCACAGCUGGAGGAUAGGGUUUUAGAAAGGGAACAGUUCCUGGAACAGAAAUGGUGGCUGAGGGAGGAGGACCCAGGUCAACGGAGAUAACUGUUUGAGUGAUUCAUCCCCAUCAUGGCUGGAAGAACACAGGCUCUAGCUGCCUCUUCCACACCAAGGCCUGAUUCCCCUGCAACAUACCUUCAGUCCAGAAGUAACUUGGACAACUCCAUGCAUUCAUGCACCAUGAAUGGGUUGGCCCCAUUGCAGCCUUCCUUCUUGAACCUCUCCCCUCUGGAUACCUCCACUCCUCUGUCGGUGCCAAGUGUGCAGAAAGAAAGGAAAGGAGAAUGUGGGGGCAAGGGACAUGAAGCAGUAGGGGGUUUAUAUCAUGUUUGCACUGUAUUCUGCACUUUUAUUUUUUUAUUUUUUGUUUUGGAAAUGUUCUUCAGUUUCUUGUUUUGGGAUGCUGGCAGCUGGCCUGCCUGGCAAUGGGCGACGGUUGUAUUGUUUUAACACAUUUACAAAUAAAGCCUUUUUAUGUCAUCAUGAA